CGGGAUGUAGCUCAGCACGGUUUAGAGUACUCGUCUGGGGGGCGAGGGGUCGCGAGUUCAAAUCUCGCCAUCCCGACAA
RNAcentral lists this transfer RNA (79 nucleotides) under Bacteroidota bacterium. Its description in RNAcentral is "Bacteroidetes bacterium (marine metagenome) tRNA-Pro". It matches the Rfam family "tRNA". From Rfam's summary of the family: Transfer RNA (tRNA) molecules are approximately 80 nucleotides in length. Their secondary structure includes four short double-helical elements and three loops (D, anti-codon, and T loops). The record is from RNAcentral. Lineage: Bacteria; Pseudomonadati; Bacteroidota.